Molecule: ribosomal RNA, 372 nt
Filed under: uncultured organism
Description: partial 16S ribosomal RNA
Rfam family: Bacterial small subunit ribosomal RNA
Source: RNAcentral
GGAAGGUGCAAGCGCUAAUCGGAAUCACUGGGCGUAAAGCGCGCGUAGGCGGUUAGAUAAGUUGGGUGUGAAAGCCCCGGGCUCAACCUGGGAACUGCAUUCGAUACUGUCUGACUAGAGUGUGAUAGAGGGAGGCGGAAUUCCGCAUGUAGCGGUGAAAUGCGUAGAGAUGCGGAGGAACACCAAUGGCGAAGGCAGCCUCCUGGAUUAACACUGACGCUGAGGCGCGAAAGCGUGGGGAGCAAACAGGAUUAGAUACCCUGGUAGUCCACGCCCGUAAACGAUGUCAACUAGCCGUUGGGAGCACUUUGGCUCUUGGUGGCGCAGCUAACGCGGUAAGUUGACCGCCUGGGGAGUACGGUCGCAAGAUUA